AUGAACAUUUAUGGAUGAUUCAGAUGAGUAACAAGACUAUAAUCAAAUAAGCUAAGCUGAUUUAUGACUAUAACAGUAAAAUACUAACAUAAGAAAUAAAGGAAAAUUGCUAGAUAAUACUCGUCAACCAUAUUCUAACCUAUAGAGACUUAACAUAACAAAAACUUAAUAACACAUAAACAGAACACAUAGAAAAACCACGAGUUAAC
Molecule: long non-coding RNA, 209 nt
Filed under: Solanum tuberosum (potato)
Lineage: Eukaryota; Viridiplantae; Streptophyta; Magnoliopsida; Solanales; Solanaceae
Description: long non-coding RNA (STUB_LNC001099)
Source: RNAcentral